AGCCAGCGAACCGCACCCCAUAUACUCACAGGCUCCAGCUACGUGGCCACGCACAGACAGUUGGCACAGUAGGGGGCACGUGGUGCAUCGGCCAGUCAUCUCAGUCAACCCAUGACACCUGGGUAUAUCCCGUGACCGCUUGCACGCGGGCAUUUCAUAUUUCAAGUGACCUUAGCCUGGAACAAUCGCCGUGUGACGUCACUGCCACUGAAUGACGAAUUGUGGUUGUUGGUGCUGAUACUGAUGAUGGUUUAGAUGAUGUUGAUGACGAUGGCGCUGAUGAUGACCGUGUUGAUGAUUAAAGUGGUGUUGCUGAUGAUGGUGUUGAUAAUGAUAGUGCUGAAGCUGAUGGUGGUGCUUAUGAUGAUAAUGAUGGUGCCGAUGUUGAUGCUUAUGAUAGUGGCGUCACACACAGUGCACACACACGCACACGCAAUAAUGUUCACGUUAUUGUUGUAGCUGAGCUUAUUCACCCAAGGGAUACCUGUGCAACAGAGGAAGACAUUUAAAAGGAAUCUAAAUCAACUUAUACUCUAAUCCCACUCCUCACCGUGCUCGCUCUCUCAUUUACCACUCCAUGUGACGUCAUCAUCGCGAGACGCCAACGGGUGUAUACCUCGCUAGUGACGUCAUGUCACCAAUAAAAUUAUAAUUUGGGCAAAGCCACUCGCAAUCACUCCAUAUGAGGGCCUGCUUCAUGUUAUUUUCCCAUUAAAUACGUCACGAGUUCAUUGUAUCAGAUUCAGUGGCCGCUCCCAAUCACUCAAUGUCAGGGACUGGCUCAUUAACAUAAUUUAUUUAGUGAGGUGGAAAACUCGCUAAGUGACGUCAUGUCCUCUCCACCGCUGCGCGAAUCUGCGUGACAUCACGAGAUCCCGGAAAGCUGCUCGCCACUCAACUGACAUCCGAGGCCCGGCAAAUGCUGCGUGACAAGGAUUCAGAGCCGCUUCCUGUUCAAGUUGGCGUGUGACAGGAAUUCCUUCUGGCCACAUACAUUACGGACGAUGCGGAGCUGAGUGGACUUGCCGAUGACUGGUACCAACGGUGUCAAGAUCGGCCU
Non-coding RNA from Petromyzon marinus (sea lamprey), 1060 nucleotides. The record is from RefSeq and is a predicted model, not a curated record. Lineage: Eukaryota; Metazoa; Chordata; Hyperoartia; Petromyzontiformes; Petromyzontidae.